Herpailurus yagouaroundi (jaguarundi) is the source of this 1044-nucleotide long non-coding RNA. RefSeq lists it as uncharacterized. The transcript has 3 exons. NCBI's taxonomy places the organism in Eukaryota, Metazoa, Chordata, Mammalia, Carnivora, Felidae. The record is from RefSeq and is a predicted model, not a curated record.
ACAAAGGGGGUUUGUUGAUGUGCCCGGGUUGUACUGAACCGGACACAUUACUUUCUAGCUGAACACACAGCCUGAUCCGCUUCUGGACAGCUGAGCCUCUGGAAAUGUACACCUGAAGAAAUUUACAGGGCCUCUUGGAGGUGGCACAUUUCUUCAUGACUUCACCUCACCUGAAUGUUCUUCUCCCCAGCCACACCUUGGUCUGUCUGCCUGCUGUGGGGGUCACACUGUGGCCACAUCCUGCCGGCUCCUGCCUCUCAAGAGCCAACUGAGGUGCUGUCUCGUCUCCAAUCCCUUUCCCUUCUGUCUUUGCCACACGAUCCUCUGACUCUCUUUUAAACACUCCUUAACAUUUAUCUACUCCCGGAAGCAUGCCUGUCGCCAACUAGAGCCUAGCAGUAGCCACUGGACAAACCCAUAGCGACCGCAAGGCUUUGUGAUACUCUGCAGUCAUGACUAGAUGAUGUCUUUGUCUCAUUCACAAAGUGUUUCACUGCUUUCUUUGGGUAUAAGAAAGUUGUGGAGUAUGCGUGUCCUGUUAACCUUCCUUACUGCGAUGAUGAUGAUCAUGACGAUGAUGAUGGUGAGGACGACAAUGAAGUGCCAGCCAUGAUUUUGGUGAUGAUACAAUUGUGCACGAAGAGGGGAAGGAGUAAGAAUUGGCAUUCUGGACUCCAUCACUUCACUGUUAUUGGCUCUGGUCCACUUGACCUCCCUGAGCUACUUCUUCAUCUCUGAAACGGAAUGGAGCGUUAUUUGUGUCUUGUCUUUUUGCAAAGCUGUGGCCACUGAGUACUGCUAGGACAAAUAACACCAAUGAGGAUUGAUCAUUUUACAAGUGAAUCAUUUGUAAAGUACCCUUGCUCCUCUACCGUCACCCAGCAAUCUCUCUCAUCCUCCGGUCAGGAAGGAGAUGGAAAUUAUUAUCAAGCAGGGACCUUAGCUGAAACAGAAUAUGACUCUGGCGUUUCCUAAGCAGAGGAGACUUUACUGAAAGGAUAUCGAGGCUCAAAGAAUUGAAGGGAGGCGGAGAACCAGCUUGCA